CUCUCUUGGGUGACCUGCCUUAUCAGCAUUAGGAAGCUUUUCCUCUCACUCCUCUUUUCUAUUAAACUUUCCGCUCCUAAACCCACUCCUUGUGUGUGUCCGUGCUGUGAAUUCUUUUCGGCUAUGGUAAAGAACCAGGGUAUAUACCCUAGACAGUGGAGCUGUUUCAUUUUGGGAGCUCAUCCGGGAUCCAAAUCAGAAUGGAAGAUAGAAACAUCGGAGUGCAGUAAAAGUUACAAGUAUCAACCUCUGAAUAUAUCACACUCAAGUCAAAGCCUGAAAAGCUGAGGGAGCAACCUUUGACAGCCCAGAGGAACAUCCUGAAUAUCAAUGUGGAGAUAUAGAAGAUCUUAAGCUGAAAAUCAUAAAAGAAGCAAUCAAACUUCAAAUGGUGCUGCAAACAAAGCCACACAUGGACAUGCCAUUCUUCCAAGAAGCCUUAGAUCAACCUCAGGAGGAGCCCCAACUGCAGCCCCCCGACACGACGCCCCUUUUCAGCAGGAAGUAGCCAGAAAGAAUCGUCGUCCAACACCCCCUAACAGCAGUUAUGGUUACGUCUCCUGAGGGAGGAAAUAAUACAGGAGUUAUUAAGAAAUUAUUUUUAGGCAGCUAGAAAGGGUAAAAAUUCUCAGUGGAAUUUUCCUUUAAUAAAAAGCAGCCCCAAACCAUUUCUUCUCUAACAGGAAGCAGCCUGAAAACUCAGGCAUAGAUAUGCAAACUAGAAGCUUUUAUAUGUAAAUGCUGGCAGCUGUACCUGGAAGUCAGGUACAUCCAAUAUGGCGGUUCCCACUCUCUUUUCCUUGUCACCACGUUUACAGGUGUCAUGGCAGCCUCCAGGUAAAACCACAUGUACAGGUAUCCUGUCCACCACCAGUUGGAGACCGUAUUUGAAUAAUAAAAGACUAGGGUGGGAGAGUCAGUCUUUUCGUGGGCUAUGUAAAUGACACAACUGGUCAAACCAAUUCCCUGAGCGCUGUGUAAAUCAAUCACCGCCUCCUCAACCUCUGUACAAAACCGACUGCAUUCCACCACAAACCGCAGACCCUCUUUUGGGCAACCCACUUUCUCAGCAUGAGGAAGGAUUUUUUCUCUCUUUUCUUUUCUAUUAAACUUUCCACUCCCAA
RNAcentral lists this long non-coding RNA (1124 nucleotides) under Homo sapiens (human). RNAcentral's name for it is "HSALNT0105079". The record is from RNAcentral. Lineage: Eukaryota; Metazoa; Chordata; Mammalia; Primates; Hominidae.